RNAcentral lists this ribosomal RNA (1978 nucleotides) under human gut metagenome. Its description in RNAcentral is "bacterial LSU rRNA". It matches the Rfam family "Bacterial large subunit ribosomal RNA", at positions 1 to 1991 of the family's 2925-position model. The record is from RNAcentral.
UUAAGUGAAUAAGGGCGCACGGUGGAUGCCUUGGCACUAGGAGCCGAUGAAGGACGGGACUAACACCGAUAUGCUUUGGGGAGCUGUACGUAAGCUAUGAUCCAGAGAUUUCCGAAUGGGGGAACCCAGCAUCUUUAAUAGGAUGUUACGAUUGUGUGAAUACAUAGCACAUUCGAGGUAGACGCAGAGAACUGAAACAUCUAAGUACCUGCAGGAAGAGAAAGAAAAUUCGAUUCCCUGAGUAGCGGCGAGCGAAACGGGAAAAGCCCAAACCAACAAGCUUGCUUGUUGGGGUUGUAGGACUCCAAUAUGGUCGUUCUUUCAGAUAGUCGAAUGACUUGGAAAAGUCAGUCAAAGAGGGUAAAAACCCCGUAGACGAAAUGUGGAAGACACCUAGGAGGAUCCUGAGUACGGCGGAACACGAGAAAUUCCGUCGGAAUCCGGGAGGACCAUCUCCCAAGGCUAAAUACUCCCUAGUGACCGAUAGUGAACCAGUACCGUGAGGGAAAGGUGAAAAGCACCCCGGAAGGGGAGUGAAAUAGAACCUGAAACCGUGUGCCUACAACAAGUCAAAGCCCGUUAAUGGGUGAUGGCGUGCCUUUUGUAGAAUGAACCGGCGAGUUACGAUUGCAUGCGAGGUUAAGUUGAAGAGACGGAGCCGCAGCGAAAGCGAGUCUGAAUAGGGCGUUUGAGUAUGUAGUCGUAGACCCGAAACCAUGUGAUCUACCCAUGUCCAGGUUGAAGGUGCGGUAAAACGCACUGGAGGACCGAACCCACGUACGUUGAAAAGUGCGGGGAUGAGGUGUGGGUAGCGGAGAAAUUCCAAACGAACUUGGAGAUAGCUGGUUCUCUCCGAAAUAGCUUUAGGGCUAGCCUCGGAAUUGAGAAUGAUGGAGGUAGAGCACUGUUUGGACUAGGGGCCCAUCUCGGGUUACCGAAUUCAGAUAAACUCCGAAUGCCAUUCAUUCAUAUCCGGGAGUCAGACUGUGAGUGAUAAGAUCCAUAGUCGAAAGGGAAACAGCCCAGACCACCAGCUAAGGUCCCAAAAUAUAUGUUAAGUGGAAAAGGAUGUGGGGUUGCACAGACAACUAGGAUGUUGGCUUAGAAGCAGCCACCAUUUAAAGAGUGCGUAAUAGCUCACUAGUCGAGUGACCCUGCGCCGAAAAUGUACCGGGGCUAAACAUAUUACCGAAGCUGUGGAGUACACCUUUAGGUGUAUUGGUAGGAGAGCGUUCUAAGGGCGUCGAAGGCAGAUCGUGAGGACUGCUGGAGCGCUUAGAAGUGAGAAUGCCGGUAUGAGUAGCGAAAGACAGGUGAGAAUCCUGUCCACCGAAUGACUAAGGUUUCCUGGGGAAGGCUCGUCCGCCCAGGGUUAGUCGGGACCUAAGCCGAGGCCGAUAGGCGUAGGCGAUGGAUAACAGGUUGAUAUUCCUGUACCCGUUGUUUUUGUUUGAGCAAUGGAGGGACGCAGGAGGCUAAGGAAUGCAGACGAUCGGAAAUGUCUGUCCAAGCAGUAAGUCUGAAGAGGAGUCAAAUGCUUCUUUUCUUAAGGACAAGCUGUGAUGGGGAGGGAAAUAAUAGUACCGAAGUUCCUGAUGUCACACUGCCGAGAAAAGCUUCUAGUGAGAAAACAGCGGCCCGUACCGCAAACCGACACAGGUAGUCGAGGAGAGAAUCCUAAGGUGAGCGAGAGAACUCUCGUUAAGGAACUCGGCAAAAUGACCCCGUAACUUCGGGAGAAGGGGUGCUGAUCAUACGAUCAGCCGCAGUGAAUAGGCCCAAGCGACUGUUUAUCAAAAACACAGGUCUCUGCAAAAUCGUAAGAUGAAGUAUAGGGGCUGACGCCUGCCCGGUGCUGGAAGGUUAAGAGGAGUGCUUAGCGCAAGCGAAGGUACGAAUUGAAGCCCCAGUAAACGGCGGCCGUAACUAUAACGGUCCUAAGGUAGCGAAAUUCCUUGUCGGGUAAGUUCCGACCCGC